GUAGCCAAGGGGGUGGGUGCAAGCCUUCUGCGCCUAUGAGAGCCAGUAGGAACCCCAGGGACAGGCAGACAGCAGCCGGGUGGCUGGAGGCAGCUGCCUUCCUAGGCAGACAGCUGCCUAGCAGGGGGUCUCUGUCGGAGGUGGCAGGGGGACUUUCCCUCUGGCCAUGCGUCCAUCCAGCACAAAGCCUGACCUUGGAGAAGGCAGACCACCUUUCAGAGCAGCCUUUUUCACUCUUUGUAUUGGCCCCAGGCUGGUAUCUCUGUGGACCCCCUUACUCCCAAGCGCUGGUGAAUCUGAGUUUAAGAGUGAUGUUUCUAGCUCAGUCUGCAGGUUCUGCUCGGCACCGCCCAGCACCAAGCACUGGGCUGGGUAAGAAAGCAGUGAAAGGGUUUGCUUCCCGUGCUCAGAUAGAGGGAGAUGCAGACUUGGGAGCCGAGGGCCGAGAGACAACAGACGGAAGUUGGGCAAACUCCAGGAAGCAGGGAAGAUGCUGUGGGCUUGCAUACGUUAGGGCUGUGUUUUUCUCCCUGUGCCCCAUGGGAGACAUUUGUGCCGUUGAACUGAACAGGACAGUUUUCUCUUACACGUGCCUGCCAGGGAGAGGGAGAAGGUGCUUAGGCUUACAAGGGAGCUCAGCGUGGCAGCAGAACCAGGAGUUCCAGGAAGCAGGGCGCGCUCCCUCAUACUGGGUCAGGGCUGGACCAGAACUAAAGUGCUUGCUACAGGCUGCCUCAAGUCUGGCUGUACAGUCCAGGGUGCUGCCAAACACCCCCCCACACCAGCAAUUCAUUUGGUUUACCUCCUGCCAGCACCAGGAUCCAUGAUCCCUGAGUUUGUACCAGACAAGACCUGCAAACUCAACUACCUUACAGAAGGCAAUAGCCUCAAUGUCAAGGUCCAGAAAUUAGGUAUGUGACCCAGUGAUGUCAGCCAAUUCAACAACUGGCAAAUACGUUUUGAAGCUUUUGGAAAUGCUAUUAGAAUCCUGGUCUCCGCAUUCAAAGGGGAUUCUACUCCAGUGGCAGAAACAAGGCUCAUGCAUGCUUUUUGUUGUUGAUGUUGUUUAUUUUUUUUCUUUGAAGGGCAGAGUUUCAAAGAAUCAGAAGCAGGGGGG
This 1117-nucleotide long non-coding RNA is filed under the name Oryctolagus cuniculus (rabbit). RNAcentral describes it as "lncRNA (ENSOCUG00000034972.1)". Lineage: Eukaryota; Metazoa; Chordata; Mammalia; Lagomorpha; Leporidae. The record is from RNAcentral.